RNAcentral lists this ribosomal RNA (254 nucleotides) under uncultured bacterium. Its description in RNAcentral is "partial 16S ribosomal RNA". It matches the Rfam family "Bacterial small subunit ribosomal RNA", at positions 524 to 775 of the family's 1533-position model. The record is from RNAcentral.
UACGAAGGGGGCUAGCGUUGUUCGGAUUUACUGGGCGUAAAGCGCACGUAGGCGGAUCGUUAAGUCGGGGGUGAAAUCCUGGAGCUCAACUCCAGAACUGCCUUCGAUACUGGCGAUCUUGAGUCCGGAAGAGGUGAGUGGAACUCCUAAGUGUAGAGGUGGAAUUCGUAGAUAUUAGGAAGAACACCAGUGGCGAAGGCGGCUCACUGGGUCCGGUACUGACGCUGAGGUGCGAAAGCGUGGGGAGCAAACGG